UAAAAUUGACUUCUCUGCAUGUAGAAAUGGAAAUGAUUCUGGUAAGGCAAGCACUUCAUUAAAACAUUUGUGACAGCCUAGAUGUGAUGUAACUGCUAAAAGAAAUUCAUAUAGUUAGAUUUGCAGAAGGACUUAGCUGUCAUUUCCCUGGUGCUCUUACCUGGAGAUGAAGUACCUUCCACGCUACAUUUAAGAUGCCUGCUGCUGUGGGAACUGGACCACUGGACAAAUGAUGGUACAAGAGCAACGCUGAGGUUGGACACCACGGAGCUGGUGGGCAAAGUUUGUACUCCCCUUGUGCUUUCUUCAGUCCCACCUCUAAUCCUGGCAGCACCUGGUUUGAGAAGUAGCAGCCAUGAGGGAUGAAAUACAGUUCCAGGAUUGCCUUUUCUGCCUGCCAAAAAGCCUUGUGCAAGUGCUCUGAAAUAAGCAUGUAAAGAAACACAUGCGUUUUUUCGUUGAGGAGCUGUGGACAUGCUCACACCUGGAAUGCCCCACCUCAUCUCAUCAUUGAAAUGGAUUUGUACACUGUGUGCUUCCUACACUCUGGGCAAGCCACAGGCACUUAGGUUGAUUAGUGGUCUUUGAAAUACAGUCUAAUGAGUAAUACAAUCGGAAAGGAAGAAAGUAAUUUGGAAAAUGACAG
RNAcentral lists this long non-coding RNA (646 nucleotides) under Cairina moschata (Muscovy duck). Its description in RNAcentral is "domestica (muscovy Duck (domestic type)) lncRNA (ENSCMMG00000017056.1)". The record is from RNAcentral. Lineage: Eukaryota; Metazoa; Chordata; Aves; Anseriformes; Anatidae.